GCAGCUCUUAUGGCGGCAGAGGCUCCGGCAACUAUGAAAAUCACAAGCAGAAGCAGAACAGAGGACAACAAUGAGUAGAGGCAAGGACGAAUUACAUCAGAAUCAAAACAACAACUUCGGCGUUUCAACUAGUACCAGCGGCGGACUUUACUCACGGCGGUGGCGACGGAGGGCACAAACGAUGGCACUGGAACAACGGCGCAGAACCUUCGCGGUUCUUCCUCUCUGAACCCGGUUCCCAACGGCGACGGUGGCAGAACAACAAUCCAGGAACAGCGGCUCCUCUCGUGCGUCCUCUUCCUCCAUCACUCAGUGAUGGUGACGCGACUCCACGGAACGGCAGCGACGAUGGAGCAUGAACGGCGACGGCGACAGGAGGCACAGCGACGCCUUCUUCCUCCUGCUCUUGGCUCGGGCUCGUUUCCCUCCUCCGGCUCCUUCUGCGACGGCAUGACUUCAACGGCGAUGCUUCCACAGCUCCACGAACGGCUGACAGGAAGCACUGCAGCGCGGGCAAGGCUGGGCGACACUGGGGAUGGUGGCGACGGCGUAGCAGGGCCCGACGAACGGAGGCGGCGACGGUGCCAAGCCCCCUCCGGC
RNAcentral lists this long non-coding RNA (600 nucleotides) under Arachis ipaensis. Its description in RNAcentral is "long non-coding RNA (AIPA_LNC000342)". The record is from RNAcentral. Lineage: Eukaryota; Viridiplantae; Streptophyta; Magnoliopsida; Fabales; Fabaceae.